RNAcentral lists this long non-coding RNA (2202 nucleotides) under Erythranthe guttata (spotted monkey flower). Its description in RNAcentral is "long non-coding RNA (EGUT_LNC002230)". The record is from RNAcentral. Lineage: Eukaryota; Viridiplantae; Streptophyta; Magnoliopsida; Lamiales; Phrymaceae.
UCAAAAUCAUUAAUCAAAAUUUUGAGUGCCUUUCAUCCAUAAAGUCGACAGAUACUACUGCAAGGAAUCCUACACAUACUAUUACAAGGAAUCCUUCAAGACAAGCAACAUGAUCUCAUAGGACCUGAAAUAUAAAUUUUCAAUAUCGAAACUAAUUAUUCUACUAGUCUAACACUAGAAAAUAAAAAUAUAUAUAUAUAAUCAGGCUCCCACCAUAUUCUAGAUUGCAUCAAUCAUGAAAUCCAUCUUUCAAAACAAAGGAAUCUGCAAGUACAAAAAAUAUACAUCAAUUAAUAAACAAAAAUUAAUGUACAAGAACAUUUCUGCCAAGUGAACAUUUGAAAAUACAAAAUAACAUAAGAUCUCUCUAAAAGAUUACUACUCUUUAGUAAGAGCCAGAAACAGAAGAUAAACUUCAAAACUACAUACUCACGUACUUCAAAUACAAACCCAAGAUAACAACAAAUAAUUUGAAUUGCUUCAGAAGACUGAUAGAAUGAUUCAUAUCCAACAAUAUAUAUAAAGUAGAAUUCUUAACCAUUUAAACUGUAACUUCAUCAACUUGUUAUGUUCGACUCCUUCAAUUAAUCCAACAAUAUGAAGCAGUACUCUUGACCAUUUAAAAAUCAAACUUUAUCAAUUUGCUUACUUCUACUCCAAGUAAUAAAUAAAUAUACAUGAUCAACUCAUAUAGGCCGGUCAAACAAAUAAAUCAGAAUGUUCUAUUUAGCUUCGUUGAAAUUCAAUGGUCAAUGAGCAAGUGUAACAAAACAAACGGUUACUCUUUCAUUUUUAUUCUCCAAAAAAAUUAAUAUUCUCUAAAUAUCAACAACUAAUAACCAAAUAUGACGGCCAGAACCACCAAAAGUUGAUGAUUAACGAGAAAAAUACAAUUUACAGAAAAUAAGGAAAAAAGAAAACAUCACAAUGAAAGAGGGCAAUUCAAUAUGCACUCUACGAUUACAUGAAUAUAAUCGUAGGGGGAAUCAUUGAAGUGUUUUUUAACCUACCAUCAAGAAUCUCAAUUCAUUAAGUCCUCAGAAACAUAAACAAGUUAUAGAAGACAAGAAAAAAAAAACAUACCAAAGAAAAGGCCAAUCGAUAUAUACUUCAAGACCCUUUAAAUUGCUCUUGCCUCGUUUUCACUCGGUAGUGAGAUUCAAUACCUUCUGGUAAAAAUAAAUAAGAUAACUAGAGAGAUAAGCAUAAGGCAAACAUAAACUAUAAUUUCUUGCCGUGUUUCUAGUUUAAAUCAGAGCCCUCGAGAAUUAUUCUUGUAUGAAAUAUAACAUAAAAUAUAAAGAAAAUGCGCAAGUUAAACAAAAAAUUAAGUAACAUUAAAUGAUAAAUAGUCCUUGAGGCCCUAAACACAAAAACGAAAUAUUAGGCUUACAAAGAACUAUAAUCGAAAGAAAAAACUACCUGAAAACUUACCGACAUUGGCUAUCUUUAAAGCCAUAGGUAAUUAUCGACAUGGUACUUUUACUUGUAGAAAAUCUGACCUUAGUACCGUCAAAAUUAUAAGAACAUAGACAUCAAAACACACAUUCAUACAAUACGGAGGAUUGCAGGCAAUGAGAAAAUUGAGUGUUUCUAGAUUCCCAAUGUAUAGAAUACAUUUUCCUGCUAAAUGACACAGAUAUAAAUUAAGACAAAGAAAUAGAAAAAGAAAUAGAAUUACAUUAGAAGCAGAGACAUUCUUUGUUGGUGGUAGAAGAGAACAAAUGAUAAAAUUCUAUUUUUUUUUUUCUAAACAUUCAUCACAAACUAGUAUUUUGCUAAAAUUGUUUCAUUUAUUCAGCAUGAACGAAUUAAAAUUGCUAAAUUCUAAUUUAAAACAUAUAAAAUUUUAAUUUAUUUAAUGUAAUACAAUUUCUCCUCUUCCCACAAUUACCAUAUCCCAUGUCGAACAACCACAAGGAUCAAUAGCCAACAUAUCCAUAUUGAACUAUUUAUCACCAUAAAUUAGGGGUUUAGGGUUUGGAUUUCAAUUAUUAGGAUGAAAAGAGUUCGUAAGGAUGGGCGUUGAAUCCAUUACCGUAACAAAGGGAAUUGAUCGGAUUACCUUCGAACAAAGUGUUUUUUUCUUCUUCUGCAUCGUUGCUUCUUCUGUGCCGUUGCUCGAAGAAAAACCACAAAGUAGGUUUUUUCUCUAACAAUAGAGUUUGAGUUGGGAACUCGAUCGACUGGGGUGAAAAUAAU